Molecule: ribosomal RNA, 562 nt
Filed under: uncultured bacterium
Lineage: Bacteria
Description: bacterial SSU rRNA
Rfam family: Bacterial small subunit ribosomal RNA
Source: RNAcentral
CCUACGGGAGGCAGCAGUGGGGAAUUUUCCGCAAUGGGCGAAAGCCUGACGGAGCAAUACCGCGUGAGGGACGAAGGCUUUUGGGUCGUAAACCUCUUUUCUCAAGGAAGAUAAUGACGGUACUUGAGGAAUAAGCAUCGGCUAACUCCGUGCCAGCAGCCGCGGUAAUACGGAGGAUGCAAGCGUUAUCCGGAAUGAUUGGGCGUAAAGCGUCCGCAGGCGGUUUUAAAAGUCUGCUGUUAAAGCGUUAGGCUCAACCUAAUAAGGGCAGUGGAAACUAUAAGACUAGAGUACGUUAGGGGCAGAGGGAAUUCCCAGUGUAGCGGUGAAAUGCGUAGAGAUUGGGAAGAACACCGGUGGCGAAAGCGCUCUGCUAGGACUGUACUGACGCUGAGGGACGAAAGCUAGGGGAGCGAAUGGGAUUAGAUACCCCAGUAGUCCUAGCCGUAAACGAUGGAUACUAGGCGUUGCCCGUAUCGACCCGGGCAUUGUCGUAGCUAACGCGUUAAGUAUCCCGCCUGGGGAGUACGCACGCAAGUGUGAAACUUAAAUGAAUUGACGG